GGUUAAGCGACUAAGCGUACACGGUGGAUGCCCUGGCAGUCAGAGGCGAUGAAGGACGUGCUAAUCUGCGAUAAGCGUCGGUAAGGUGAUAUGAACCGUUAUAACCGGCGAUUUCCGAAUGGGGAAACCCAGUGUGUUUCGACACACUAUCAUUAACUGAAUCCAUAGGUUAAUGAGGCGAACCGGGGGAACUGAAACAUCUAAGUACCCCGAGGAAAAGAAAUCAACCGAGAUUCCCCCAGUAGCGGCGAGCGAACGGGGAGCAGCCCAGAGCCUGAAUCAGUGUGUGUGUUAGUGGAAGCGUCUGGAAAGGCGCGCGAUACAGGGUGACAGCCCCGUACACAAAAAUGCACAUGCUGUGAGCUCGAUGAGUAGGGCGGGACACGUGGUAUCCUGUCUGAAUAUGGGGGGACCAUCCUCCAAGGCUAAAUACUCCUGACUGACCGAUAGUGAACCAGUACCGUGAGGGAAAGGCGAAAAGAACCCCGGCGAGGGGAGUGAAAAAGAACCUGAAACCGUGUACGUACAAGCAGUGGGAGCACGCUUAGGCGUGUGACUGCGUACCUUUUGUAUAAUGGGUCAGCGACUUAUAUUCUGUAGCAAGGUUAACCGAAUAGGGGAGCCGAAGGGAAACCGAGUCUUAACUGGGCGUUAAGUUGCAGGGUAUAGACCCGAAACCCGGUGAUCUAGCCAUGGGCAGGUUGAAGGUUGGGUAACACUAACUGGAGGACCGAACCGACUAAUGUUGAAAAAUUAGCGGAUGACUUGUGGCUGGGGGUGAAAGGCCAAUCAAACCGGGAGAUAGCUGGUUCUCCCCGAAAGCUAUUUAGGUAGCGCCUCGUGAACUCAUCUCCGGGGGUAGAGCACUGUUUCGGCAAGGGGGUCAUCCCGACUUACCAACCCGAUGCAAACUGCGAAUACCGGAGAAUGUUAUCACGGGAGACACACGGCGGGUGCUAACGUCCGUCGUGAAGAGGGAAACAACCCAGACCGCCAGCUAAGGUCCCAAAGUCAUGGUUAAGUGGGAAACGAUGUGGGAAGGCCCAGACAGCCAGGAUGUUGGCUUAGAAGCAGCCAUCAUUUAAAGAAAGCGUAAUAGCUCACUGGUCGAGUCGGCCUGCGCGGAAGAUGUAACGGGGCUAAACCAUGCACCGAAGCUGCGGCAGCGACGCUUAUGCGUUGUUGGGUAGGGGAGCGUUCUGUAAGCCUGUGAAGGUGUGCUGUGAGGCAUGCUGGAGGUAUCAGAAGUGCGAAUGCUGACAUAAGUAACGAUAAAGCGGGUGAAAAGCCCGCUCGCCGGAAGACCAAGGGUUCCUGUCCAACGUUAAUCGGGGCAGGGUGAGUCGACCCCUAAGGCGAGGCCGAAAGGCGUAGUCGAUGGGAAACAGGUUAAUAUUCCUGUACUUGGUGUUACUGCGAAGGGGGGACGGAGAAGGCUAUGUUGGCCGGGCGACGGUUGUCCCGGUUUAAGCGUGUAGGCUGGUUUUCCAGGCAAAUCCGGAAAAUCAAGGCUGAGGCGUGAUGACGAGGCACUACGGUGCUGAAGCAACAAAUGCCCUGCUUCCAGGAAAAGCCUCUAAGCAUCAGGUAACAUCAAAUCGUACCCCAAACCGACACAGGUGGUCAGGUAGAGAAUACCAAGGCGCUUGAGAGAACUCGGGUGAAGGAACUAGGCAAAAUGGUGCCGUAACUUCGGGAGAAGGCACGCUGAUAUGUAGGUGAAGCGACUUGCUCGUGGAGCUGAAAUCAGUCGAAGAUACCAGCUGGCUGCAACUGUUUAUUAAAAACACAGCACUGUGCAAACACGAAAGUGGACGUAUACGGUGUGACGCCUGCCCGGUGCCGGAAGGUUAAUUGAUGGGGUCAGCGCAAGCGAAGCUCUUGAUCGAAGCCCCGGUAAACGGCGGCCGUAACUAUAACGGUCCUAAGGUAGCGAAAUUCCUUGUCGGGUAAGUUCCGACCUGCACGAAUGGCGUAAUGAUGGCCAGGCUGUCUCCACCCGAGACUCAGUGAAAUUGAACUCGCUGUGAAGAUGCAGUGUACCCGCGGCAAGACGGAAAGACCCCGUGAACCUUUACUAUAGCUUGACACUGAACAUUGAGCCUUGAUGUGUAGGAUAGGUGGGAGGCUUUGAAGUGUGGACGCCAGUCUGCAUGGAGCCGACCUUGAAAUACCACCCUUUAAUGUUUGAUGUUCUAACGUUGACCCGUAAUCCGGGUUGCGGACAGUGUCUGGUGGGUAGUUUGACUGGGGCGGUCUCCUCCUAAAGAGUAACGGAGGAGCACGAAGGUUGGCUAAUCCUGGUCGGACAUCAGGAGGUUAGUGCAAUGGCAUAAGCCAGCUUGACUGCGAGCGUGACGGCGCGAGCAGGUGCGAAAGCAGGUCAUAGUGAUCCGGUGGUUCUGAAUGGAAGGGCCAUCGCUCAACGGAUAAAAGGUACUCCGGGGAUAACAGGCUGAUACCGCCCAAGAGUUCAUAUCGACGGCGGUGUUUGGCACCUCGAUGUCGGCUCAUCACAUCCUGGGGCUGAAGUAGGUCCCAAGGGUAUGGCUGUUCGCCAUUUAAAGUGGUACGCGAGCUGGGUUUAGAACGUCGUGAGACAGUUCGGUCCCUAUCUGCCGUGGGCGCUGGAGAACUGAGGGGGGCUGCUCCUAGUACGAGAGGACCGGAGUGGACGCAUCACUGGUGUUCGGGUUGUCAUGCCAAUGGCACUGCCCGGUAGCUAAAUGCGGAAGAGAUAAGUGCUGAAAGCAUCUAAGCACGAAACUUGCCCCGAGAUGAGUUCUCCCUGACUCCUUGAGAGUCCUGAAGGAACGUUGAAGACGACGACGUUGAUAGGCCGGGUGUGUAAGCGCAGCGAUGCGUUGAGCUAACCGGUACUAAUGAACCGUGAGGCUUAACCUU
RNAcentral lists this ribosomal RNA (2904 nucleotides) under Escherichia coli. Its description in RNAcentral is "23S ribosomal RNA". It matches the Rfam family "Bacterial large subunit ribosomal RNA". The record is from RNAcentral. Lineage: Bacteria; Pseudomonadati; Pseudomonadota; Gammaproteobacteria; Enterobacterales; Enterobacteriaceae.